Molecule: long non-coding RNA, 195 nt
Organism: Prionailurus viverrinus (fishing cat)
Lineage: Eukaryota; Metazoa; Chordata; Mammalia; Carnivora; Felidae
Exons: 3
Source: RefSeq, a predicted model, not a curated record
CCUAAGAAUUGAGGCAGUGUGGUAAUUUAAACAGUAGCUCUGGAACCCUCUGCAAGCACACUGGUAUACCUCACUAUGAAGAAAGCUGCUUAGGAGUUACCAUCUCCACAACAGACAAAGUAAUUGAGGAUCUGCCUACAAGAGCUAAGAAAAGCUGCCCCAGGACCUGCUGCUUGUAGCUCAUGAAAUCAUGAG